GGAUCCCAUCAGAACUCCGC
This 20-nucleotide small nuclear RNA is filed under the name Arabidopsis thaliana (thale cress). RNAcentral's name for it is "snRNA_08959". The record is from RNAcentral. Lineage: Eukaryota; Viridiplantae; Streptophyta; Magnoliopsida; Brassicales; Brassicaceae.